GACGAACGCUGGCGGCGUGCCUAACACAUGCAAGUCGAACGGAGUGAAGCCCUUCGGGACUUUACUUAGUGGCGAACGGGUGAGUAACGCGUGAGGAACCUGCCUUUCAGUGGGGGACAACAGUUGGAAACGACUGCUAAUACCGCAUGACGCUUCUUGGGGGCAUCCCCGGGAAGCCAAAGAUUUAUUGCUGAAAGAUGGCCUCGCGUCUGAUUAGCUGGUUGGUGAGGUAACGGCCCACCAAGGCGACGAUCAGUAGCCGGCCUGAGAGGGUGAACGGCCACAUUGGGACUGAGACACGGCCCAAACUCCUACGGGAGGCAGCAGUGGGGAAUAUUGCACAAUGGGGGGAAACCCUGAUGCAGCGACGCCGCGUGAGUGAGGAAGUAUUUCGGUAUGUAAAACUCUAUCAGCAGGGAAGAUAAUGACGGUACCUGACUAAGAAGCACCGGCUAAAUACGUG
RNAcentral lists this ribosomal RNA (463 nucleotides) under uncultured bacterium. RNAcentral describes it as "bacterial SSU rRNA". It matches the Rfam family "Bacterial small subunit ribosomal RNA", at positions 28 to 507 of the family's 1533-position model. The record is from RNAcentral.